CAGUCAAAAGUUAUUUGUUAACUCAUUAUCCUAUUAAUCAUUAUCAAUAAUCCAUCGUUGAUAAUAAGGAAAAACAAAGGAAAUGAAGUUUAAUUACUUCUACUUUUAUAAAAGUCUUAAUUUAGUUGUUCUAUAAUCUCUAUAUAUACAUCUAUAAAACAGUAAAAAGGUCUAUAUAAUAAAGGUGCAGAUGGCAAGGGAUUUUCUCAUUCUUGCCUGGGGCGGUCCAACACAAGAAAGCUGAGGGCACAGAGGCGGUGGAAGUACUCCGUGAUGGCCAGGAAACACCGUGCAGCUUGACGGGUGGUCAGGAGCUGCUGGAGCCGAUGAAUGGUUUGGUGCCUCAGAUGAUCAGUCUGUAGGUCAAUUUAAUUUUUAAUUGAUCAUGACAAAUUGUAAGACUUAACAACUCAUCAUGCCUGAAUGUUGACGUUGAAGGUUUGAUAUAUCAUUAUGUAAACAUUUCUAGGUUGACAUGAUUUAAAUAAGAAAACUUGUGCUGAUACC
Molecule: long non-coding RNA, 507 nt
Organism: Olea europaea var. sylvestris
Lineage: Eukaryota; Viridiplantae; Streptophyta; Magnoliopsida; Lamiales; Oleaceae
Exons: 2
Source: RefSeq, a predicted model, not a curated record